RNAcentral lists this non-coding RNA (104 nucleotides) under Sphingomonas sp. RNAcentral describes it as "Glycine sequence". It matches the Rfam family "Glycine riboswitch aptamer". Rfam says of the family: This family represents the bacterial glycine riboswitch. Glycine riboswitches usually consist of two metabolite-binding aptamers domains with similar structures in tandem. RNAcentral also lists the same sequence under 1 other name. The record is from RNAcentral. Lineage: Bacteria; Pseudomonadati; Pseudomonadota; Alphaproteobacteria; Sphingomonadales; Sphingomonadaceae.
AUUCGACGCUCUGGAAAGCGGCCUUGCUUCGGCAUGGCCCACCGAAGGGGUAACUCCGCGCAAGCAGGAGGAAAGCUCUCAGGUUCCGUGACAGAGGGGGUUCG